GGGAAAGGAAUGGAAUAAACGAAAGAACAGAGAAACAAUGGAAUGUAAAGGGAAAGGAAUGAUGAGGAAUGGUUUGCUUUAAUGGAUUUACUGUCAGUGGUCAGACUGUCGCAGUGAGUGUCAUGGACUAAGAACUAAAUGUCUGUUGAUUGACAGCUUUGUGGCCGUCCUUUGGUGAUCAGGGAACGACACAAUAUCACUGCUUCCUGUAGCACAAUUUAAUCAAGCUUUUGUUGGACUAUUAUCAGCUUAUGUGUUCAUGAACAGGUCUCAUCUGUUUCACCAGCUAAUCUCCUUCUGGAGAGGCGGAGAAUUCCAACCCAGUAAAUAAUGUUAAUCUGACAUAAGCUCUCUACCCCUUCUUUUUCUCGACAGAAGUGCGGAUUAGCCUCCCUCCCAAACAGUUUUCAGAGAAUCGCUAAGGUAAUAACGUGCCAUGUCGUGUGCUGGCUCAGACCUGAGACGUCUCGUUGUUCUGCUGAUUGGAUGGUGGAAAAAAGAAUGAAUUUGCCUGUAUAUUCAGUGACCCAUGUGACACUGCGCGGUGCGUAUUAGGGACCGGGAAAGCCCAUGCCAUCUCUCAGAAGAUGAAAUAUUAAAUUACAAACUUGUUAGCCUGGUUAUCCUGGAAUGGAUUUGGCAUUGACGGAGAAAUGUAAUUAUUUCUGCCUCUCGCUUUGCUUCUUUCAUCCAAAGAUUAAUGUUAUUAAUAAUAGCAAUAUCCGCAGGAUUUGUCCGGUCUCUUAAAUAAACAUGAUGGAGUCAUAAAGAUUGUGUGGCUCAGACCAGGAUGCGGCUUUUCAUUCUACAGAACUAGAUCAUCCCGGACAUGUGAGCCAUUAACGGGUGACAUCAAUUACGUAAGGAAUAAAACACUUCAGGGUGUGCUGUUGUAGGAAAUUAAGCAAUGAUGGGAUGGGAUGAUAUCCUCAGGCAGAGUACUGUUGAUUAUUUUCCAAUAACAGCAUGUUUUCCAUCCAUCUUCUAUACCGCUUACUCCUUCUUCAGGGUCACGGGGGAACCUGGAGCCUAUCCCAGGGAGCAUGGGGCACAAGGCGGGGUACACCCUGGACAGGGUGCCAAUCCAUCACAGGACACAAUCACAUACACACUCACACACCCGUUCAUACACUACGGACACUUUAGACACGCCAAUCAGCCUACCAUGCAUGUGUUUGGAC
This is a long non-coding RNA of Ictalurus punctatus (channel catfish), 1181 nucleotides long. NCBI's taxonomy places the organism in Eukaryota, Metazoa, Chordata, Actinopteri, Siluriformes, Ictaluridae. The record is from Ensembl.